Molecule: ribosomal RNA, 393 nt
Filed under: Salmonella enterica subsp. enterica serovar Ituri
Lineage: Bacteria; Pseudomonadati; Pseudomonadota; Gammaproteobacteria; Enterobacterales; Enterobacteriaceae
Description: bacterial SSU rRNA
Rfam family: Bacterial small subunit ribosomal RNA
Source: RNAcentral
UGAAGAGUUUGAUCAUGGCUCAGAUUGAACGCUGGCGGCAGGCCUAACACAUGCAAGUCGAACGGUAACAGGAAGCAGCUUGCUGCUUUGCUGACGAGUGGCGGACGGGUGAGUAAUGUCUGGGAAACUGCCUGAUGGAGGGGGAUAACUACUGGAAACGGUGGCUAAUACCGCAUAACGUCGCAAGACCAAAGAGGGGGACCUUCGGGCCUCUUGCCAUCAGAUGUGCCCAGAUGGGAUUAGCUUGUUGGUGAGGUAACGGCUCACCAAGGCGACGAUCCCUAGCUGGUCUGAGAGGAUGACCAGCCACACUGGAACUGAGACACGGUCCAGACUCCUACGGGAGGCAGCAGUGGGGAAUAUUGCACAAUGGGCGCAAGCCUGAUGCAGCCA